GUAGGUGGCAAGCGUUGUCCGGAAUUAUUGGGCGUAAAGCGCGCGCAGGCGGUCCUUUAAGUCUGAUGUGAAAGCCCACGGCUCAACCGUGGAGGGUCAUUGGAAACUGGGGGACUUGAGUACAGAAGAGGAAAGCGGAAUUCCAAGUGUAGCGGUGAAAUGCGUAGAGAUUUGGAGGAACACCAGUGGCGAAGGCGGCUUUCUGGUCUGUAACUGACGCUGAGGCGCGAAAGCGUGGGGAGCAAACAGGAUUAGAUACCCUGGUAGUCCACGCCGUAAACGAUGAGUGCUAAGUGUUAGGGGGUUUCCCGCCCCCUUAGUGCUGCAGCUAACGCAUUAAGCACCCCGCCUGGGGGAGUACGGCCGCAAGGCUG
This 374-nucleotide ribosomal RNA is filed under the name uncultured organism. RNAcentral's name for it is "partial 16S ribosomal RNA". It matches the Rfam family "Bacterial small subunit ribosomal RNA", at positions 527 to 896 of the family's 1533-position model. The record is from RNAcentral.